GAUGAACGCUGGCGGCGUGCCUAAUACAUGCAAGUCGAGCGAACAGACGAGGAGCUUGCUCCUCUGACGUUAGCGGCGGACGGGUGAGUAACACGUGGAUAACCUACCUAUAAGACUGGGAUAACUUCGGGAAACCGGAGCUAAUACCGGAUAAUAUAUUGAACCGCAUGGUUCAAUAGUGAAAGACGGUUUUGCUGUCACUUAUAGAUGGAUCCGCGCUGCAUUAGCUAGUUGGUAAGGUAACGGCUUACCAAGGCAACGAUGCGUAGCCGACCUGAAAGGGGGAUAGGCCACACUGGAGGGGAGCCGCGGUCCAGACUCCUGAGAGAGGCAGCAGUCGGGAAUGGGACGCAGUAGGGGAGAGUAUGACGGAGCGGCGCCACGUGUGUGGUGGAGGUCUUCGGAUCGUAAAACUCUGUUAUUGGGGAAAAACAAAUGUGUACGUAACUAUGCACGUCUUGACGGUACCUAAAGAGAAAGCCACGGCUAACUACGUG
This 497-nucleotide ribosomal RNA is filed under the name uncultured bacterium. Its description in RNAcentral is "partial 16S ribosomal RNA". It matches the Rfam family "Bacterial small subunit ribosomal RNA", at positions 28 to 507 of the family's 1533-position model. The record is from RNAcentral.